Molecule: ribosomal RNA, 871 nt
Filed under: uncultured Methanosarcina sp.
Lineage: Archaea; Methanobacteriati; Methanobacteriota; Methanomicrobia; Methanosarcinales; Methanosarcinaceae
Description: bacterial SSU rRNA
Rfam family: Archaeal small subunit ribosomal RNA
Source: RNAcentral
UCCCGGUUGAUCCUGCCAGAGGUUACUGCUAUUGGUGUUCGACUAAGCCAUGCAAGUCAUAUGUUCCUCGUGAACAUGGCAUACUGCUCAGUAACACGUGGAUAACCUGCCCUCGGGUCUGGGAUAACCCCGGGAAACUGGGGAUAAUACCGGAUAGCGCAUAUGUGCUGGAAUGCUUUAUGCGUAAAACGGAUUCGUCCGCCCAAGGAUGGGUCUGCGGCCUAUCAGGUAGUGGUGGGUGUAAUGUACCUACUAGCCAACGACGGGUACGGGUUGUGAGAGCAAGAGCCCGGAGAUGGAUUCUGAGACAUGAAUCCAGGCCCUACGGGGCGCAGCAGGCGCGAAAACUUUACAAUGCGGGAAACUGUGAUAAGGGAACACCGAGUGCCAGCAUCAUAUGCUGGCUGUCCAGAUGUGUAAACUACAUCUGUUACAAGGGCCGGGCAAGACCGGUGCCAGCCGCCGCGGUAACACCGGCGGCCCGAGUGGUGACCGUUAUUAUUGGGUCUAAAGGGUCCGUAGCCGGUUUGGUCAGUCCUCCGGGAAAUUUGAUAGCUCAACUAUUAGACUUUCGGGGGAUACUGCCAGGCUUGGAACCGGGAGAGGUAAGAGGUACUACAGGGGUAGGAGUGAAAUCUCGUAAUCCCUGUGAGACCACCUGUGGCGAAGGCGUCUUACCAGAACGGGUUCGACGGUGAGGGACGAAAGCCGGGGGCACGAACCGGAUUAGAUACCCGGGUAGUCCCAGCCGUAAACUAUGCUCGCUAGGUGUCAGGCAUGGCGCGACCGUGUCUGGUGCCGCAGGGAAGCCGUGAAGCGAGCCACCUGGGAAGUACGGCCGCAAGGCUGAAACUUAAAGGAAUUGGCGGGA